Molecule: ribosomal RNA, 459 nt
Filed under: uncultured bacterium
Lineage: Bacteria
Description: partial 16S ribosomal RNA
Rfam family: Bacterial small subunit ribosomal RNA
Source: RNAcentral
CCUACGGGUGGCAGCAGUGAGGAAUAUUGGUCAAUGGGCGCGAGCCUGAACCAGCCAAGUCGCGUGAGGGACGACGGUCCUAUGGAUUGUAAACCUCUUUUGUCGGGGAGCCAAAGACGCCACGCGUGUCUUUCCGCGCGUACCCGACGAAAAAGCAUCGGCUAACUCCGUGCCAGCAGCCGCGGUAAUCCGGGGGAUGCGAGCGUUAUCCGGAUUUAUGGGGUUUAAAGGGUGCGAAGGCGGAAGAUCCAGUCAGCGGUAAAAUUGCGGGGCUCAACCUCUUCGAGCCGUUGAAACUGGUGGUCUGGAGUGAGCGAGAGGUAUGCGGAAUGCGUGGUGGAGCGGUGAAAUGCAUAGAUAUAACGCAGAACUCCGAUGGCGAAGGCAGCAUACCGGAGCGCAACUGACGCUGAGGCACGAAAGCGUGGGUAUCGAACAGGAUUAGAUACCCUGGUAGUC